UACGUAGGGGGCAAGCGUUGUCCGGAUUUAUUGGGCGUAAAGAGCUCGUAGGUGGUUCGGUAAGUCGGAUGUGAAAUCUCCAGGCUCAACCUGGAGGGGUCAUUCGAUACUGCCGUGACUAGAGUUCGGUAGGGGAGUGUGGAAUUCCUGGUGGAGCGGUGAAAUGCGCAGAUAUCAGGAGGAACACCGGUGGCGAAGGCGGGUCUCUGGGCAGUAACUGACGCUGAGGAGCGAAAGCGUGGGGAGCGAACAGG
RNAcentral lists this ribosomal RNA (254 nucleotides) under uncultured bacterium. Its description in RNAcentral is "partial 16S ribosomal RNA". It matches the Rfam family "Bacterial small subunit ribosomal RNA", at positions 524 to 776 of the family's 1533-position model. The record is from RNAcentral.